RNAcentral lists this ribosomal RNA (340 nucleotides) under uncultured Anaerolineaceae bacterium. Its description in RNAcentral is "bacterial SSU rRNA". It matches the Rfam family "Bacterial small subunit ribosomal RNA", at positions 1031 to 1382 of the family's 1533-position model. The record is from RNAcentral. Lineage: Bacteria; Bacillati; Chloroflexota; Anaerolineae; Anaerolineales; Anaerolineaceae.
UUUACAGGUGUUGCAUUGGCUGUCGUCAGCUCGUGUCGUGAGAUUGUUCGGUUAAGUCCGCUAACGAGCGCAACCCUCGCUGUGUGUUAUAUGUGUCACACAGGGACUGCUGGUAUUAAGCCGGAGGAAGGUGGGACGACGUCAAGUCAGCAUGACCUUUAUAUCCAGGGCUACACACACGCUACAAUGGUCAGUACAAUGGGUUGCCAAGCCGCGAGGCGGAGCCAAUCCUAAAAAGCUGGCCUCAGUUCAGAUUGCAGUCUGAAACUCGACUGCAUGAAGUCGGAGUUGCUAGUAAACGCAGGUCAGCUAUACUGCGUUGAAUACGUUCCCGGGGCUU